Molecule: long non-coding RNA, 324 nt
Filed under: Medicago truncatula (barrel medic)
Lineage: Eukaryota; Viridiplantae; Streptophyta; Magnoliopsida; Fabales; Fabaceae
Description: lncRNA gene33458
Source: RNAcentral
GGCAAAUUUGAUUGGUAUCCGGUUAUUGAUUGGUUGUUUUUUUGAGUAUACAUGAGUGAGGUACCUAUUCCUCUGAAUUCAUAAUGGAGGUGUUGCUAGUGUAUUAGAGUUCUCCUGGUUCCUUUUUGGACUAUUGUAAGGGUCUGGUGUAAAUGGUGGAAUACUGAUGUGUGUAUUUUGUUUACUUGGGGUGCUAGCCUGUUUUUCUUUAUGAUAGUUAGUCUCAUUCUUAGUUUCAGUAUCAGCUUGAGUCUUGUUAGGAGUCAGGUCCGGUGGUUGGUAUUCUGGAUUUCUGGUGGUGUGUGCUUAGUUUUGACAUUUUGA